AACGAACGCUGGCGGCAUGCCUAACACAUGCAAGUCGAACGGGACCUUCGGGCCUAGGUGCGCACGGGUGCGUAACGCGUGGUGACCAGCACUUAGGUUCGGAAUACCUCCCCGAGAGGGGUGCUAAUACCGGAUAAGCUCUUCGGACCAAAGAUUUAUGGCCUUUGGAUGGGCCCGCGUUGGAUUCGCGGGUUGGUAGGGUACAAGCCGGCCAAGGCGACGAUGCUGAGCUGGUCGGGGAGGAGGACCAGCACCGCUGGGACUACGACACGGACCAGAAUCGUACGGAGCGGAGCAGAGGAGAAUACUGGACAAGGGGCGAAAGCCUGAUCCAGCAAUGCCGGGUGAGAGAUGAAGGCCGUAGGGUUGUAAAGCUCUUUUACCCGGGAUGAUAAUGACAGUACCGGGAGAAUAAGCUCCGGCUAACUCCGUG
RNAcentral lists this ribosomal RNA (433 nucleotides) under uncultured bacterium. RNAcentral describes it as "partial 16S ribosomal RNA". It matches the Rfam family "Bacterial small subunit ribosomal RNA", at positions 29 to 507 of the family's 1533-position model. The record is from RNAcentral.